This 253-nucleotide ribosomal RNA is filed under the name uncultured bacterium. RNAcentral's name for it is "partial 16S ribosomal RNA". It matches the Rfam family "Bacterial small subunit ribosomal RNA", at positions 524 to 776 of the family's 1533-position model. The record is from RNAcentral.
AACGUAGGAGACAAACGUUAUCCGGAGUUACUGGGCGUAAAGGGCGUGCAGGCGGUGGCCUAAGUCUGGCGUGAAAGCUCCCGGCUAAACCGGGAGAGGUCGUUGGAUACUGGGUGACUAGAGGACGGUAGAGGCGUGUGGAAUUCCGGGUGUAGUGGUGAAAUGCGUAGAGAUCCGGAGGAACACCAGUGGCGAAGGCGACACGCUGGGCCGUACCUGACGCUAAGACGCGACAGCAUGGGGAGCGAACGGG